UUCAGGCCUAACACAUGCAAGUCGUACGAGAAAUCCCGAGCUUGCUUGGGAGAGUAAAGUGGCGCACGGGUGAGUAACGCGUGGGUAACCCACCUUCGAAUCUGGGAUAACUCCGCGAAAGCGGUGCUAAUACCGGAUAAGACCACAGUCGCUUCGGCGGCAGAGGUAAAAGCUGACCUCUCCAUGGAAGUUAGCGUUCGAGGACGGGCCCGCGUCCUAUCAGCUUGUUGGUGGGGUAAUGGCCUACCAAGGCUGCGACGGGUAGCUGGUCUGAGAGGAUGAUCAGCCACACUGGAACUGGAACACGGUCCAGACUCCUACGGGAGGCAGCAGUGAGGAAUUUUGCGCAAUGGGGGAAACCCUGACGCAGCAACGCCGCGUGGGUGAAGAAGGCUUUCGGGUCGUAAAGCCCUGUCAGGUGGGAAGAAACUCUUCAGUACUAAUAAUGCUGAAGCCUGACGGUACCACCAGAGGAAGCACCGGCCAACUCCGUGCCAGCAGCCGCGGUAAUACGGAGGGUGCAAGCGUUGUUCGGAAUUAUUGGGCGUAAAGAGCGUGUAGGCGGCUUGGUAAGUCAGAUGUGAAAGCCCUGGGCUCAACCCAGGAAGUGCAUUUGAAACUACCAGACUUGAGUACGGGAGAGGAGGGGGGAAUUCCCGGUGUAGAGGUGAAAUUCGUAGAUAUCGGGAGGAAUACCGGUGGCGAAGGCGCCCCUCUGGACCGAUACUGACGCUGAGACGCGAAAGCGUGGGGAGCAAACAGGAUUAGAUACCCUGGUAGUCCACGCCGUGAACGAUGAGCACUAGGUGUAGCGGGUAUUGACCCCUGCUGUGGCCGUAGCUAACGCAUUAAGUGCUCCGCCUGGGGGACUACGGGUCGCAAGACUAAAAACUCAAAGGAAUUUGACGGGGGCCCGAGCAACGGGUGGAAGCAGGUGGGUUUAACUCGACGCCACCGCGAAGAAACCUUACCUGGGGCUUGGACAUCCCCCGGGACAAC
This 999-nucleotide ribosomal RNA is filed under the name uncultured bacterium. Its description in RNAcentral is "bacterial SSU rRNA". It matches the Rfam family "Bacterial small subunit ribosomal RNA", at positions 41 to 1217 of the family's 1533-position model. The record is from RNAcentral.